AACCUGCCCCAUGCUCCAGAAUAGCUCUUGGAAACGGGUGGUAAUGCUGGAUGCUCCAACUUGACGCAUGUCUUGUUGGGAAAGUGUUUAGUGGCAUGGGAUGGGGUCGCGUCCUAUCAGCUUGUAGGCGGGGUAAUGGCCCACCUAGGCUUCGACGGGUAGCCGGCCUGAGAGGGCGGACGGCCACAUUGGGACUGAGAUACGGCCCAGACUCCUACGGGAGGCAGCAGAA
This 232-nucleotide ribosomal RNA is filed under the name uncultured Gardnerella sp. RNAcentral's name for it is "partial 16S ribosomal RNA". It matches the Rfam family "Bacterial small subunit ribosomal RNA", at positions 123 to 354 of the family's 1533-position model. Lineage: Bacteria; Bacillati; Actinomycetota; Actinomycetes; Bifidobacteriales; Bifidobacteriaceae. The record is from RNAcentral.